Molecule: ribosomal RNA, 301 nt
Filed under: uncultured bacterium
Lineage: Bacteria
Description: partial 16S ribosomal RNA
Rfam family: Bacterial small subunit ribosomal RNA
Source: RNAcentral
CAGCAGCCACGGUAAUACGGAGUGUGCGAGCGUUAAUCGGAAUUACUGGGCGUAAAGCGUACGCAGGCGGUUUGUUAAGUCAGAUGUGAAAUCCCCGAGCUUAACUCGGGAACUGCAUUUGAAACUGGCAGGCUAGAGUCUCGUAGAGGGGGGUAGAAUUCCAGGUGUAGCGGUGAAAUGUGUAGAGAUCUGGAGGAAUACCGGUGGCGAAGGCGGCCCCCUGGACAAAGACUGACGCUCAGGUGCGAAAGCGUGGGGAGCAAACAGGAUUAGAUACCCCAGUAGUCCCUGUCUCUUAUAC